GAGAGAGCGCUGAGGUGACGAGAGACUGGGAACUGAGGUCUUCCGGUCUGAGGUGCUGAGGUCUCAGGAUCGAGGGAUGAAAGAGAAGAGAUCUUCACUGAGAGAAUGUAAUUCCUCCUGGACCGGAGCAUAAAGUACCCGAAACUAGAGAUCGGUUUCUCUGAAACUGGAGGAUCAAUCCCACACAACUCAUUAUCGCAUUGCAACCUGAGACUGGAAAUGCCUGGGGGCGGGAGGCGUUUCUCAGAGUAGAGCUCAGUCAUCCUGCAGAGCAGGGCACCAGUCCAAGGCUGCGGAAACAGCACAACAAUAACCGACUGCUUUCUGGUUAAGAAAAAACAUGAACCCAGUAGCAAGGCAGUACUAAAGGCU
Molecule: long non-coding RNA, 372 nt
Filed under: Cyanistes caeruleus (blue tit)
Lineage: Eukaryota; Metazoa; Chordata; Aves; Passeriformes; Paridae
Description: lncRNA (ENSCCEG00000012600.1)
Source: RNAcentral